Molecule: ribosomal RNA, 483 nt
Filed under: uncultured bacterium
Lineage: Bacteria
Description: partial 16S ribosomal RNA
Rfam family: Bacterial small subunit ribosomal RNA
Source: RNAcentral
AUUGAACGCUGGCGGCAGGCCUAACACAUGCAAGUCGAGCGGAUGAAGGGAGCUUGCUCCUGGAUUCAGCGGCGGACGGGUGAGUAAUGCCUAGGAAUCUGCCUGGUAGUGGGGGAUAACGUCCGGAAACGGGCGCUAAUACCGCAUACGUCCUGAGGGAGAAAGUGGGGGAUCUUCGGACCUCACGCUAUCAGAUGAGCCUAGGUCGGAUUAGCUAGUUGGUGGGGUAAAGGCCUACCAAGGCGACGAUCCGUAACUGGUCUGAGAGGAUGAUCAGUCACACUGGAACUGAGACACGGUCCAGACUCCUACGGGAGGCAGCAGUGGGGAAUAUUGGACAAUGGGCGAAAGCCUGAUCCAGCCAUGCCGCGGGUGUGAAGAAGGUCUUCGGAUUGUAAAGCACUAUAAGUUGGGAGGAAGGGUAGUAAGUUAAUACCUUGCUGUUUUGACGUUACCAACAGAAUAAGCACCGGCUAACUUCGU